RNAcentral lists this ribosomal RNA (497 nucleotides) under uncultured bacterium. Its description in RNAcentral is "partial 16S ribosomal RNA". It matches the Rfam family "Bacterial small subunit ribosomal RNA", at positions 28 to 507 of the family's 1533-position model. The record is from RNAcentral.
GAUGAACGCUGGCGGCGUGCCUAAUACAUGCAAGUCGAGCGAACAGACGAGGAGCUUGCUCCUCUGACGUUAGCGGCGGACGGGGGAGUAACACGUGGAUAACCUACCUAUAAGACUGGGAUAACUUCGGGAAACCGGAGCUAAUACCGGAUAAUAUAUUGAACCGCAUGGUGCAAUAGUGAAAGACGGUUUUGCUUUCACUUAUAGAUGGAUCCGCGCCGCAUUAGCUAGUUGGGAAGGUAACGGCUUACCAAGGCAACGAUGCGUAGCCGACCUGAGAGGGUGAUCGGCCACACUGGAACUGAGACACGGUCCAGACUCCUACGGGAGGCAGCAGUAGGGAAUCUUCCGCAAUGGGCGAAAGCUUGACGGAGCAACGCCGCGUGAGUGAUGAAGGUCUUCGGAUCGUAAAACUCUGUUAUUAGGGAAGAACAAAUGUGUAAGUAACUAUGCACGUCUUGACGGUACCUAAUCAGAAAGCCACGGCUAACUACGUG